This 269-nucleotide ribosomal RNA is filed under the name uncultured prokaryote. RNAcentral's name for it is "partial 16S ribosomal RNA". It matches the Rfam family "Bacterial small subunit ribosomal RNA", at positions 524 to 792 of the family's 1533-position model. The record is from RNAcentral.
UACGGAGGGUGCGAGCGUUAAUCGGAAUUACUGGGCGUAAAGCGCGCGUAGGCGGUCUGAUCAGCCGGUUGUGAAAGCCCCGGGCUCAACCUGGGAACGGCAUCCGGAACUGUCAGGCUAGAGUGCAGGAGAGGAAGGUAGAAUUCCCGGUGUAGCGGUGAAAUGCGUAGAGAUCGGGAGGAAUACCAGUGGCGAAGGCGGCCUUCUGGACUGACACUGACGCUGAGGUGCGAAAGCGUGGGUAGCAAACAGGAUUAGAUACCUCCGUA